RNAcentral lists this long non-coding RNA (635 nucleotides) under Nicotiana benthamiana. RNAcentral's name for it is "long non-coding RNA (NBEN_LNC032374)". The record is from RNAcentral. Lineage: Eukaryota; Viridiplantae; Streptophyta; Magnoliopsida; Solanales; Solanaceae.
GACAAUGGAAAAAUUCUGGAAAAAAAAAACUCUCUCAAAAAAUAAGAUUGCAUAGUUCAAUUCUCUUCAUAUUCAAAAUACAAAAAAACAACAAAAACCUUCAGAAAAAGCGAAAAAACACAACACUGUUGCAUUGGAAACUUUUAGGCUAAUUUUGGUUUUCUAGUUCUUGAUUCACAUCCUUUGGUUUCUGAAAUUUAGGGUUUUAAUUCAAGUGAAUCUGGGUCUAAUUAAGUGGUUUCUGGGUGAGUUUUGCUCCACUGAGAUUUCAGGGUUAGUUCGAGUUGAUUUCGAGUGAUUUUUGGUAUGUUUAAGCUUGUUUAGGUUGAGUCUUUAUCUGCUGAAAGUUUCAGAAGUGCAUUGUGUUCAUUUUCGAGUCUAUUCGAGUGGUUUUGAUGCUGUCCUGGGUUUAUUGGAGUGGUGUUGCUCGAUUUUAAAACACUCCUGGGUUCUCUAUGUGUUUUUCUAGGUUCAAGCUUAUAUAAUUUUGUGGCUGUUGAGUUCACUUUACUGUUGUUUGUUCCUGCUGCUGAUCCCUUUCCUUUCCUCCAUCUCACUUCAAUUUCAUAUACAUGUCUUAAACCAUGGAGAUGUAAUUUUCAGAGUAUGGAAUGAAAUCUCUUGUUCUUCAUCGA